GCUCCAUUGUUUCAGAUGGUAAUCCAAUGUAUAAGCAAUGGACUGUUUUAUUCUUGGUGCUUUCAAGACCUGAUGCUUUGUUUUGAACAGGUUGAUACAUCUAGGAGUGAAAUACAUCACCGCUUUCCCUGCUCCCGCCGCCAUUAAAAUUGUGUUUGGCAUCUGACCACCAAGAUACAGAUAUUUCCUAGACUGUUUUGCAGCUAGGUACUUAGAAGUUUUUCUAAGUUAUUUAAACUUCUCACCACACAAAAUCUGGAUUUGUAUCUGUCACGUAGUAAUUGCUUGAUAAAUGACUGUGCCCUGCAUUCUCAGCUGCCUCAGCAUUCCCUAACUCCUCUAUUCAUUUGAGGGCUCCUACCUCCUGGACUGUUCAGGAAAAGGCCCUGCAGAAAAAAAAAAAAAAGUGAGGAAAAUACUACACACUUCCUUUCUAUGUUUGCUUUCUUUCACAAUCCUGUGCUGCCCCGUAUCCAAUGCCUGAAGCUCAUUGUUCAUAAAUAUAUUCUUCAGUUUUAUAAUUGUGAGUAAGGUAGGGUAACUCCAAUACCAAUUAUUCCUUUGUGCAUAUGAAAAUCACACUUUAAUGGGGAAAUAGAUAGUAAACAAGAUAAUUAAUUUUAAAACUUCUAUGUUAGGUGCUAAAGACUAAGAAGAAAAUAAAUCAGAAGCAUGGAUAAGGAAGGUUGUGUAGGUAUGGUGGGGGAGCAAAGAACAUCAUAAAAGAAGCAUUUGAUACUUUUGAAAAAUCAUGCAAUGAAAGAUUCACUGUGAAAAUGUUCUUAGAAGAAAGUUAAGAGAGCCAUGCAGAUAUUGGCAGGAAGGGCCUUCUAAGACAGAGGAGUAGCCAGUACAAAAGGGUAUGUGGCAGGAAUACAUAUGGCAUGUUGGUAGGAAAGUGAGGUGGCCAUUGAGACUAGACCUAAAUGAAGGAGAGAGUGCUAGGAAAUGAAUUUACAGGUAUAAGUGAGGAUCAGAUUGGGUAACAUUUCCAUCACUUGCAAGAAUCUAUUGCUUUCUUUGAGCAUAAUAGGAAGCCAGCAGAGGGCCUUGAGCACAGAUAUUUUACUAUCUCUGGCUUUUAUGUGACACAAAAAGUCCUUGGGAACCAGAUUUAGGUCUCUGAAACAAACUUGAGUCCUGUGAAUGUGGUGGAGUUGCAAAGCCUUUGUGUUUGGAGGAAACUUACCUGACUGGUUGUAUACCACAAGGUUGUCUUGAUGUACUAUGCCUCGCUAAUCUCAGAGCAGUUUGGGCCUGCCACUGGACAUCUCUGGACCUCAAUCAAGGAAUAUUCUGUACAAUCAUUGGCCAGCUGCCUAAGCUAAAUUGUGCCAGUUAGCUUUUACCUUAGUAAAAUAACUUCUACAUUCUCAGGUAUGAGAAUAUUUUCCAUAGGGGGGAUUCCACAGUUAUUUAGUUUUUUAAUUUAAAGGACAGUGACUGUGCUGUGAUCUUGAGUGAAGAGUUUAUUCACAAAUCACUCAAUGAAAGCACAUCAGUUUGAUUGCUUGGAUUAUAAAGUACACCUCUAUUCCAAGUGGCUUAAACAAUAAAGGGGAAUCAUUGGCUCCUGUAACUUGAAGUUACAGUGGUUCAGUAAUGUCAUCAAGGACUCAAUUUCUUUCAGACUCUCUGUUGUGCCAUACAAAAAUCUGGCUUCACGCUACAUCUGGCUUCCCUGUAAGUGCUAAUAUGGCUGCCAGCAGUUGGGCAACAUGGUACAUUCCCAUCCAGCAGCACAGAGGACAUCAAAUAAAUAUCUGACUUUCCUACUAAUUGAAACACUGUGAACAGGUCCCUGUGUUCAGGGGAGUGUCAUGUUAUGACUGGUCAAGACUUAAGCUACGUGAAAUAUUGUGGAAAGAGAGAUAGGAUAGCCCUUAUUGAUUUAAACAACAGGGAGCCUACCUUUUGUGACAGAAGUGAAACUAAUAUCACCCUAAUCAAAGCUGAUACAGCAUGGGAAAGAAUGGAAUGGGUGCUGAAAAGAAGAUGAAAAUAAAGAAAUAAAAUUCACCAGUGCCAGGAUGUCUUCAUUCGGUCUACUCAUAUCUAGAAAGCAGACUCAGCAGACUCCAGUUUUCAUCCUCACAAGUGGCAGACAGGAUGAAGAUCACUAGCAUCUGAGUCCUCCUUGGAAUGAAUGGGCUCUACCACUGUUGUGGAGCUGUCAGUUAUGAUGGUAUAGGAUUGAGCUAUAUUAGGAGAAAGUAGAGAUAAAGUAAAACAGAGUAUUUUAGAGCUGCUAAAAGUUCUGAUUAUGGCCACAGAACAGAAAAACAGGUUUCAACAGGUGAAUUUUCAAAGCAGUUUGGAAAAGAAGGCAACCUCCAUUAAUCACUGGAUAUCUCUGAUUGCUUUUGAAGACCUCUCAUUUUAAAAACAUUAAUAUUCAUCCAAGAAUAUGAGAGCACAAUUGUUAAGUUGUAGCUUAGGAUUUUUCUUUUGGAGAUAGAAGUAUAUCUUGCAAGUGUGAUUACAGUUGGCUACAAAAUUUGCUUAAGCACAAAGAGAAUAGAAAAUGAAUAUAUCAAUAAUAUUUUGUAACAAUAAAAAGAAAAAUAGUAAUGGUAAAUGCUCACAUUUAACCGAGUACUUGCUGUGUAGUAGCAAAGAAAUUUACAUGUGUUUACAUAUUUGAUCCCAUAAUUCUAUGAAGCAACUGAGAUAUAGAGAACUUAAACACCUUACUUAGACUCCGGGCCAGCAAGCAAAAAGCAUAGCUGAGAGAUGCUCGCAGGCACUCUGACUUUAACACUCAUCCUCAUAAGUAUUCAUCUCUGUCUAGGAAGUCAUGUAAGAUCUUUUUCAUUAGUUGUUACAAAAUGUAUACGUAAACUGAUGAGAUUUGACUGAAAAUAUGUUUCUAUAUUCAUCAUCUUUUUUGAUCCUUCCUGUAACCCCGAAAACUUAGAUUUUAUAGGAUUGGCACAAAAUAUGGGAGGCUGAACACAGCUAAUUAACAUAGAUCACAUAUACUGGGGUUCUGGAAAAGAUCCACAUACUGAGUUUAUUUCACAGGAAUCUAGGCCCCAAGCUAUAAUAGCAUAAUUUAAUUACAUACCGUCUUCAGAGAUAUCUCCCCAAAUUUACAAAUGAGUUGCACAUUUACUGAAACCAAAAGAAUGGGAAGAAAAUGUAAGAUAAGCUAGAAUAGGGUGGGAGUAGAAUGAGAAGCAAAUUCAGGAAGCUGAAAAAAGAUAUUAAAAUAAUCACUAAAAGAAGGAUAUAGGCUUGAAUAAGGUAUAGAGUUGAGUACAGAGUCAGAAGAAUAGAAAGAACCAUGGGAAAGAGCAUAAAAUGCUAGGUCGAACAUGUAUGUGGAUAGACAUUCUUGAAGUACUAAAAAGAAAGGAAGGCUGACCUUUGCUGACUGUAAUUGUUCUAUGUGUUCAUAAUGGAACAUCCAUUUAAGAAUACAGAUAAUAAGCAGGCAACUUCAAUAACCCAAAACAAUAUUUAUCUUUUCUAUGGAUUUUUCCAAACCAACAAUAUGUAAGUGCCAAUUCAUUAUUUGUUUCCUUUAAUUUAUUUACUUCCCACCCAUUAAGUUUCCAGUUCUGCACUGGUGUUCUGUUAUUGUUUACUCCUUCAAUCAAAAGCUCCUGAGUGUUUAGAGUGUGUUCAGUUCUGUGCUUAGACUCUGGUUCUAGAGAUGACAAAAACACAAUUCUUGGCUAACAAUCCCUUAAAGGAGACAAGCAUGUUAAUCAUGAGAUCACAAUUUAAUGAGUGCCAUGAAUGUAACACAGAAACUGAUUCCUGAUUUACUGACUGGAAACAUUUGAUACAUAAGUAUUUAAAAUUAACAUGAGAUGAGAUUAAAAAGAGCAUCUGCUCAGAAAUCAGGUAUCCACACAAAAGAAAGAAAGAAAAAAAAAAGAUUGCAAGAAAGGAACCCAGCAGAGGAGAGCAGCCUCAAGAAUAACUGACUGCAGACAUAAACAACCACAGGGCCUGAACCAGUUUUCUUAUCAUUGC
This 3984-nucleotide long non-coding RNA is filed under the name Homo sapiens (human). RNAcentral describes it as "HSALNT0293145". The record is from RNAcentral. Lineage: Eukaryota; Metazoa; Chordata; Mammalia; Primates; Hominidae.